GAACCGAGCGAACGUUGUUCGGAAUCACUGGGCUUAAGGGGCGCGUAGGCGGGUGUUCAAGUCCGUGGUGAAAUCCUCCGGCUCAACCGGAGAACUGCCUCGGAUACUGGAUGUCUCGAGGGUGGCAGGGGUAUGCGGAACUAUCGGUGGAGCGGUGAAAUGCGUUGAUAUCGAUAGGAACUCCGGUGGCGAAGGCGGCAUACUGGUCCACUUCUGACGCUGAGGCGCGAAAGCCAGGGGAGCAAACGGGAUUAGAUACCCCGGUAGUCGUGGCCCUAAACGAUGGGUACUAGCUAGUAGGGUUCACAUGGCUUUACUGGCGAAGCAAAAGUGCUAAGUACCCCGCCUGGGGAGUAUGGUCGCAAGGCUG
This 370-nucleotide ribosomal RNA is filed under the name uncultured bacterium. RNAcentral describes it as "bacterial SSU rRNA". It matches the Rfam family "Bacterial small subunit ribosomal RNA", at positions 527 to 896 of the family's 1533-position model. The record is from RNAcentral.